Molecule: long non-coding RNA, 2513 nt
Organism: Cavia porcellus (domestic guinea pig)
Lineage: Eukaryota; Metazoa; Chordata; Mammalia; Rodentia; Caviidae
Exons: 2
Source: RefSeq, a predicted model, not a curated record
GUGGCCUGAGCUCUCUCUGCUUGCUCCUCUGGUCCUCAGUGCCGGCUGACUGUGGAUUGAAACCUCUACGAACUGCAUGGCAAAACAAACCUCUCUUCUUUAAAUUUGUGGAUGUCGUGUAUUUUGUUGCAGUGGCAAGAACAGUGACCAGCACAAUGGAGCAAUGCAGUCCACACAGGGAUGCUGCUGUGGUCUAUAUAUCAGCUCACACUGCAGAAGGCUGCGUACUGUGGAGUCCAGGGCAGGAAAGCCUCUGUGGCAGACCCAGGCUGUGGAGUGAGCAACCUUGAUGCACUGCCAUAAAAUCUGAUGACUCUAUUGUGUUAGAGAGAGCCCAUGCUGAGAAAAGAGGCAGUGUGUGAUUAUGGAAAGCAUAACUGGAAAAAAUAUUACAUAAACUCCUAGGACUCAUGCCACUGAAGAACAGCUCUGAAGGCUCUAGUAAAAGUGAAGACAUCCAAAGUUGAAUUUCACCAGGACUAGAGUUCAAGACAGCUGUGUGACUAGUUAGCCCAGGACCCCGUGUCAUUGCCAAUGGUUACAUUAGUACCCAUUCCCCACUUCAUUCCUGUGACCAUAAGGGGAAAGUGCCAUGCUGCAAGCCAAAGAAGGGACAGUUCGUGCUGGGAUUGUACACAGUCAUGGAUCAGUCUGUGAGUAAAAUCUGAAAGUACCUCAUAGUGCCAUUGUUUAAAAGACAGGUGGGGAGAGGAGCAUCCCAAUGAACAAGACGAGGUGGUGCAUCUGAUGUAGAAGCAGCAGCCCAAGGUCACCUAUACAGACUUGUAGGCUGAGAUCAGUAGCAUGACUGGCUAGUCAAGAGCACAGAAAGAAAAGACUAGACUAUACGACUCAAAGAGGACUGGGAGAGAGGCAUGUGCAUGCAUAUAGGUGCUACAUAAAAUGUGAAGAUGUACCACAUGUUCAUGAAUACAAGAAAGCAUCCCACUGCCGAACAGACACUGAACAACCAAAUAGACCAAAUGACUCAAUCAUUUGACGUUUGCAAGCUUUCUUUUUGGAGUGGCCAUGAUGGGAGACUAGAAGCUAUACAUGGGCUCAAUAACAGAGACACUCAUUUUCCAGAGGAAAUUUAGCUACUGUUGAUUCUAAGUAGUAAAUUCAAGAAAACCUUCCCAUCCCUAAGCCAUGUCAUAGCUUCAAGGCACUCUGCACUUAUUUUUUAUAACCAUAAACUCAAAAUGCUUUAUGUCAUCUGAGGAGCUAAUUAGAUUCUUUGCUUCAUCUUACCCAGGCCAACCACAGUGGUCCAACCCUAGAAGGAGCAGUCACAACAUAUUUUUAAAACAGUCAAAGAAUCAAUAUUUGAAUUUCAAAUUUAUAACAUUCUGGUAGGCUCAAAUUUUAUAAACCAAGGUUUAUUUGCAAAGACUUAUUUUUUAAAAGUCCAUUCAACAAAUUAGGUGGAUGCAGAAUUAAUUUAGAAUAGGUUACCUUGUAGUUUUUCUAAUUAACCUUUCUAUCACAAAGUCAAGAUUUUCUUUUUUUUUUUUUUGGUGGCUGACUUUAGUAGACACAAUAAAAUCUCAUUAGUGUGGCAUUUUCAAGAGAAAUGUGUGGUCAUGCCAAGAAGUAUUGCCUGAUGGCUGUGAAAACCAAGCCUACGUCUGACUUUACUGAAUUCUUGAGUAGAACAGACUGAACCACGUGAAUGACAUCCUGCGACGGUUUCCCUCAGUUUGAAGCAAAAGAAUUCAAGUGGCAACUCAUGAGUUUGAAAGGUGACAACUCAGAACAGGCAGGUGAUUUGCUAAAGCUCAUGGCAAUUGAAACAAAAAUUGCCCAAUUCUGUCAAACCCCAUAGGGAGAAACAUUUUAAAAUGAAUUUUGCCUGGAGCAGAUUGCAUUGUUUCAUAGGCAGUUCAUCCUCUCUACCACCUGGGGACAGAUUCAACAUAUCUAUUCUUUUUUCACACAGUAAAACCACAGUAAACCAAUUUAUGAUUGAUGAAUCACAGAGGAAACAAGAAAAUUUAUCUGGAGGUGGUGAGGGCAAUGUACAGUUAUCUAACUAUACUUGAAAUCCUGCAUAUAAUCAAUUAUAUAACUGUAAUUCAUAUAAUCUACAUUUUAUUGAAAUUGAAAAAUGGAUUGCAAAAUAAUCACUAAAUGGGAAAAGACUUUUAAGAGUGUCCAACAUAAAGCUGGCUUCUUAGAAUUGCUUAAGACUAGGUAUUUAUAUAAAACCAAGUUUGCUCAUAAUGAAAAUUAUAUAUGAAAUUUGUGCAUUGUAAAAUUUUUGGAAAGUUAUCAAAGGGACUUUAAAAUCAUCCAGUCAUCAUCUCAAGAAAGCACACAUUGUGCUAAAUGUAGAAUAAAAAUUUCCAGAAAAAAGAAUAUUGUAGUCACAUUAUAGAAAGCCAUUGGAAAAGUCUUGGUGUAUACAAUGGUGGUAUGUGUCAUUUAAGAGCUAUUCAUAAAAUUACUUUUUAAUUAAUGCCUUUUAGAACAAUGCCUCUUGAACCAUAAAUAAAAUUGUUAUGUACCUGGGC